AUAUCAAUAAGCGGAGGAAAAGAAACCAACAGGGAUUACCUCAGUAACGGCGAGUGAAGCGGUAAGAGCUCAAAUUUGAAAGCUGGCUCCUUCGGGGUCCGCAUUGUAAUUUGCAGAGGAUGUUUCGGGAGCAGCCCCCAUCUAAGUGUCCUGGAACGGACCGUCAUAGAGGGUGAGAAUCCCGUAUGGGAUGGGGUGUCUGCGCCCAUGUGAAACUCCCUCGACGAGUCGAGUCGUUUGGGAAUGCAGCUCUAAAUGGGUGGUAAAUUUCAUCUAAAGCUAAAUACCGGCUGGAGACCGAUAGCGCACAAGUA
RNAcentral lists this ribosomal RNA (314 nucleotides) under uncultured Aspergillus. RNAcentral's name for it is "partial large subunit ribosomal RNA". It matches the Rfam family "Eukaryotic large subunit ribosomal RNA", at positions 40 to 350 of the family's 3401-position model. Lineage: Eukaryota; Fungi; Ascomycota; Eurotiomycetes; Eurotiales; Aspergillaceae. The record is from RNAcentral.